This 478-nucleotide ribosomal RNA is filed under the name uncultured organism. RNAcentral describes it as "partial 16S ribosomal RNA". It matches the Rfam family "Bacterial small subunit ribosomal RNA", at positions 331 to 801 of the family's 1533-position model. The record is from RNAcentral.
GUACACUCCUACGGGAGGCAGCAGUAGGGAAUCUUCCACAAUGGGUGCAAACCUGAUGGAGCAAUGCCGCGUGAGUGAAGAAGGUCUUCGGAUCGUAAAGCUCUGUUGUUAGAGAAGAACACGUGCUAGGUAACUACUAGCGCCUUGACGGUAUCUAACCAGAAAGUCACGGCUAACUACGUGCCAGCAGCCGCGGUAAUACGUAGGUGACAAGCGUUGUCCGGAUUUAUUGGGCGUAAAGGGAGCGCAGGCGGUCUGUUUAGUCUGAUGUGAAAGCCCACGGCUUAACCGUGGAACGGCAUUGGAAACUGACAGACUUGAAUGUAGAAGAGGAAAAUGGAAUUCCAAGUGUAGCGGUGGAAUGCGUAGAUAUUUGGAGGAACACCAGUGGCGAAGGCGAUUUUCUGGUCUAACAUUGACGCUGAGGCUCGAAAGCGUGGGGAGCGAACAGGAUUAGAAACCCUGGUAGUCCCAUGAU